AGAUGAAUCAAAGAAGGUAAUAAUCCUGUAGUCGAAAAUGUUGUCUCUCUUGAGUGGAUCCUGAGUACGACGGAGCACGUGAAAUUCCGUCGGAAUCUGGGAGGACCAUCUCCUAAGGCUAAAUACUCUCUAGUGACCGAUAGUGAACCAGUACCGUGAGGGAAAGGUGAAAAGCACCCCGGAAGGGGAGUGAAAUAGAACCUGAAACCGUGUGCUUACAAGUAGUCAGAGCCCGUUAAUGGGUGAUGGCGUGCCUUUUGUAGAAUGAACCGGCGAGUUACGAUUUGAUGCAAGGUUAAGCAGUAAAUGUGGAGCCGUAGCGAAAGCGAGUCUGAAUAGGGCGUUUAGUAUUUGGUCGUAGACCCGAAACCAGGUGAUCUACCCUUGGUCAGGUUGAAGUUCAGGUAACACUGAAUGGAGGACCGAACCGACUUACGUUGAAAAGUGAGCGGAUGAACUGAGGGUAGCGGAGAAAUUCCAAUCGAACCUGGAGAU
This 495-nucleotide ribosomal RNA is filed under the name Staphylococcus aureus. RNAcentral describes it as "partial 23S ribosomal RNA". It matches the Rfam family "Bacterial large subunit ribosomal RNA", at positions 348 to 846 of the family's 2925-position model. The record is from RNAcentral. Lineage: Bacteria; Bacillati; Bacillota; Bacilli; Caryophanales; Staphylococcaceae.